GAUAAAAGAGAAAAGAAAGGAAACAACUAAGAGAGAAAAAGAAACGGUGAAGGAAAAAGAGAGAAGCAACUCGUGCACCACCUGGUCAGAUCCGAUCUCCGACAUCCUUCGAUUACCGCCAGAAAACUACAGCCAACUCACAACCAAGAGGGCCUAAAGACAUUCUGAUCGCAUUGUUAAAUAGGUAUUGACACGAAUUUAUUGACAAAUAGGUCAAUCCGAGAUUUAAGCAAGAGCAUGAUCAAGUUUUCAUCUUAGCCCUCGACAAUUCAAAAGUAUUGCCAAGUAGGAUCAAGAAACGUUGCUGCUGGGGGACAUGUAAAACAAGUAUUUAGUCAAGAUUUUAAGAACUUCAAAGUUGGGAAUUGACUACUCCCUCUUUAGUGUAAGGUCACAUUAUGUUAUAAAGUUUUUAAAUCUUUAAGGCUUUAACGGUAUCUUUAUGUCAAUUAUGCUUCCGCACUUUUAAUUUUUUAUAGUCUUCGCAUCUCUUGGACUAAGUAAUGAGGCAUCGGGUGGAGGUUAG
This is a long non-coding RNA of Rhododendron vialii, 526 nucleotides long. RefSeq lists it as uncharacterized. The transcript is spliced from 3 exons. The record is from RefSeq and is a predicted model, not a curated record. NCBI's taxonomy places the organism in Eukaryota, Viridiplantae, Streptophyta, Magnoliopsida, Ericales, Ericaceae.